AUUGAACGCUGGCGGCAGGCCUAACACAUGCAAGUCGAGCGGAUGAAGGGAGCUUGCUCCUGGAUUCAGCGGCGGACGGGUGAGUAAUGCCUAGGAAUCUGCCUGGUAGUGGGGGAUAACGUCCGGAAACGGGCGCUAAUACCGCAUACGUCCUGAGGGAGAAAGUGGGGGAUCUUCGGACCUCACGCUAUCAGAUGAGCCUAGGUCGGAUUAGUUAGUUGGUGGGGUAAAGGCCUACCAAGGCGACGAUCCGUAACUGGUCUGAGAGGAUGAUCAGUCACACUGGAACUGAGACACGGUCCAGACUCCUACGGGAGGCAGCAGUGGGGAAUAUUGGACAAUGGGCGAAAGCCUGAUCCAGCCAUGCCGCGUGUGUGAAGAAGGUCUUCGGAUUGUAAAGCACUUUAAGUGGGGAGGAAGGGCAGUAAGUUAAUACCUUGCUGUUUUGACGUUACCAACAGAAUAAGCACCGGCUAACUUCGUG
This 484-nucleotide ribosomal RNA is filed under the name uncultured bacterium. RNAcentral describes it as "partial 16S ribosomal RNA". It matches the Rfam family "Bacterial small subunit ribosomal RNA", at positions 30 to 507 of the family's 1533-position model. The record is from RNAcentral.